Molecule: long non-coding RNA, 407 nt
Organism: Brienomyrus brachyistius
Lineage: Eukaryota; Metazoa; Chordata; Actinopteri; Osteoglossiformes; Mormyridae
Exons: 3
Source: RefSeq, a predicted model, not a curated record
GAGGUGAAAGGAUCGAUCCAUCAUUAAGCCCCCAAAACAGCUCCCAUAACACACUGCAAAGCCGCCAAUAGCAAGAGAGGUGAAAGGAUCGAUCCAUCACUAAGCCCCCAAAACAGCUCCCAUAACACACUGCAAAGCAGCCAAUAGCAAGAGAGGUGAAAGGAUCGAUCCAUCACUAAGCCCCCAAAACAGCUCCCAUAACACACUGCAAAGCAGCCAAUAGCAAGAGAGGUGAAAGGAUCGAUCCAUCACUAAGCCCCCAAAACAGCUCCCAUAACACACUGCAAAGCAGCCAAUAGCUAGAGAGGUGAAAGGAUCGAUCCAUCACUAAGCCCCCAAAACAGCUCCCAUAACACACUGCAAAGCAGCCAAUAGCAAGAGAGGUGAAAGGAUCGAUCCAUCACUAA